AAGGGUGACAUUGAGUUCAACAAAUGACAUAAUUUCAACAAAUACUAGUAUAUCAUGGGAUUUCUUUCCUCCAAACUUGGUGAAAUUAGGCCAGGUGCUAAGCUAGAAUCACUUCUGCAAUAUUUUGUAUGACUCUUAUAUGUUAAAGGAUUUUGUAUGUUAUAUGCUCUGCAGAAGGUGUUAAGGCAGGGAGAAAUUAAUUUGCUUGCUGCUGUGGAGGCUUU
RNAcentral lists this unclassified non-coding RNA (224 nucleotides) under Hevea brasiliensis (rubber tree). The record is from RNAcentral. Lineage: Eukaryota; Viridiplantae; Streptophyta; Magnoliopsida; Malpighiales; Euphorbiaceae.